UCUUGGUUCAGAACGAACGCUGGCGGCAGGCCUAACACAUGCAAGUCGAGCGCGCCCUUCGGGGUGAGCGGCGGACGGGUUAGUAACGCGUGGGAACGUACCCUUUGGUAGGGAAUAGCCACUGGAAACGGUGAGUAAUACCCUAUGAGCCCUUCGGGGGAAAGAUUUAUCGCCAAAGGAUCGGCCCGCGUUAGAUUAGGUAGUUGGUGGGGUAAUGGCCUACCAAGCCUACGAUCUAUAGCUGGUUUUAGAGGAUGAUCAGCAACACUGGGACUGAGACACGGCCCAGACUCCUACGGGAGGCAGCAGUGGGGAAUCUUGGACAAGUGGGGGCAACCCUGAUACCCAGCCAUGCCGCGUGAGUGAAGAAGGCCUUAGGGUACGUAAAGCUCUUUCGCCUGUGAAGAUAAUGACGGUAGCAGGUAAAGAAACCCCGGCUAACUCCGUGCCAGCCGCUGC
This 459-nucleotide ribosomal RNA is filed under the name uncultured bacterium. RNAcentral's name for it is "bacterial SSU rRNA". It matches the Rfam family "Bacterial small subunit ribosomal RNA", at positions 17 to 518 of the family's 1533-position model. The record is from RNAcentral.